CCCGGGACCUUGGUCCAGGCGCUGGUCUGCGUGGUGCUCGGGUGGAUAAGUCUGAUCUGAGCACCACACGGGCCGGGCGCCGGGACCAAGGGGGCUC
This is a microRNA precursor of Pan troglodytes (chimpanzee), 97 nucleotides long. The record is from Ensembl. NCBI's taxonomy places the organism in Eukaryota, Metazoa, Chordata, Mammalia, Primates, Hominidae.